AUACGUAGGGUGCGAGCGUUGUCCGGAAUUACUGGGCGUAAAGAGCUCGUAGGUGGUUUGUCGCGUCGUCUGUGAAAUUCCGGGGCUUAACUCCGGGCGUGCAGGCGAUACGGGCAUAACUUGAGUACUGUAGGGGAGACUGGAAUUCCUGGUGUAGCGGUGAAAUGCGCAGAUAUCAGGAGGAACACCGGUGGCGAAGGGGGGUCGCUGGGAAGAAACGGACGCUGAGGAGCAAAAGCAUGAGUAGCGAACAGGAUUAGAUACCCUGGUAGUCCAUGCGGUAAACGGUGGGCGCUAGGCGUAGGGGUCUUCCACGACUUCUGUGCCGUAGCUAACGCAUUAAGCGCCCCGCCUGGGGAGUACGGCCGCAAGGCUAAAACUCAAAGGAAUUGACGGGG
Molecule: ribosomal RNA, 398 nt
Filed under: uncultured bacterium
Lineage: Bacteria
Description: partial 16S ribosomal RNA
Rfam family: Bacterial small subunit ribosomal RNA
Source: RNAcentral